GAUAGAAAGCAUCACCCUAACGCGCCCAAUCUCGUCUGAUCUUGGAAGCUAAGCAGGGUCAGGCCUGGUUAGUACUUGGAUGGGAGAAAGCAUCACAUUCAUCA
RNAcentral lists this ribosomal RNA (104 nucleotides) under Mustela putorius furo (domestic ferret). The record is from RNAcentral. Lineage: Eukaryota; Metazoa; Chordata; Mammalia; Carnivora; Mustelidae.